CGGCGGACGGGUGAGUAACGCGUGGGUAACCUGCCUCAUACAGGGGGAUAACAGUUAGAAAUGACUGCUAAUACCGCAUAAGCGCACGGGACUGCAUGGUCCAGUGUGAAAAACCGAGGUGGUAUGAGAUGGACCCGCGUCUGAUUAGCUGGUUGGCGGGGUAACGGCCCACCAAGGCGACGAUCAGUAGCCGACCUGAGAGGGUGGCCGACCACAUUGGGACUGAGACACGGCCCAAACUCCUACGGGAGGCAGCAG
Molecule: ribosomal RNA, 258 nt
Filed under: uncultured bacterium
Lineage: Bacteria
Description: partial 16S ribosomal RNA
Rfam family: Bacterial small subunit ribosomal RNA
Source: RNAcentral